Molecule: unclassified non-coding RNA, 202 nt
Filed under: Hevea brasiliensis (rubber tree)
Lineage: Eukaryota; Viridiplantae; Streptophyta; Magnoliopsida; Malpighiales; Euphorbiaceae
Source: RNAcentral
AGGGAUUGAAGACCUGUAUCAACUAAACCCUUUAAGCCGUUUGCUUUGUGCACCACAAAAUCAAGUACAUCAGAGGAGGCAUUUGGAGUAGCGGUUGACAUCGUUAGAGGUGGUGGGAAUCUGGCAGAACUUUGUACCAGAAUUUCGAUCUCUUAUUACCAGGGCUGUCUUAUAUAAUAUACUUAUUUAUUUUACAAAUAAU